CCGCGGUAAUACGGAGGAUCCGAGCGUUAUCCGGAUUUAUUGGGUUUAAAGGGUGCGUAGGCGGCUUGUUAAGUCAGGGGUGAAAGACGGUGGCUCAACCAUCGCAGUGCCCUUGAUACUGGCGAGCUUGAAUGUACUUGAGGUAGGCGGAAUGUGACAAGUAGCGGUGAAAUGCAUAGAUAUGUCACAGAACACCGAUUGCGAAGGCAGCUUACUAAAGUGUAAAUGACGCUGAGGCACGAAAGCGUGGGGAUCAAACAGG
RNAcentral lists this ribosomal RNA (262 nucleotides) under uncultured bacterium. RNAcentral describes it as "partial 16S ribosomal RNA". It matches the Rfam family "Bacterial small subunit ribosomal RNA", at positions 515 to 776 of the family's 1533-position model. The record is from RNAcentral.